Molecule: long non-coding RNA, 2047 nt
Filed under: Helianthus annuus (common sunflower)
Lineage: Eukaryota; Viridiplantae; Streptophyta; Magnoliopsida; Asterales; Asteraceae
Description: hypothetical non coding rna
Source: RNAcentral
UGUUACACGCCUAAAUCCAAAACUCUCACCAAUAAUGUAAAAGGUAGCUCCUUCAAAAGGUAGCUCCUUGGUCGGAAUCUGCAAUCAAAGAACAUCGUUAGCCUUAACGCGAGAGGUGGCUUCCCGUGUUUGAAGUCCGGCGUUAGAAUCAGUGGAAUGAUCUUUAAGAAUCUAAGCGAAAUGAAAGGAUAAAAGUUUAGAAUGAGAGUGAGAACGACAGAAUUAGUUUGGGCUGAACAAGACUCUCCUUUUAUAGGCAGAUUGCUCUGCCCAAGGAAGCCUUGUGCCAGCUGAUACCUUCUAGUUUUGUCUUUUCUGAAAAAAGAAAAUGAAAAGAGUUUCAAAUUAUCGAACAAGGGAACUAGAAGCAUGAGGCUUUUUUAUUUCUGUGACCAUGGGCUUCUCGUCAGAAGCCCAGAAGUGAUUGAUGGGACAGUGCCGCAGGGGAGCUCUGAAUUGCCCUAGGCUGCCAACUGUUGGCAGUUACAUCUCCACCCUCCACCUGUCCGUUUGCUAGGGAUUUUGAAUUUUUGAACUCUGUAACUUCCUUAUAACCGCUCAUUUCAUCUUCUCCUUUACUUUUCUUUUCUCUUCAAAUUCUCUCUUUUGUUCGACGGUUUUUCCGGUGAUUCAUCUUUAAAAACUCGGUAAGUCGUCACUUCUUUACUUUUCAAAUGGGGUCUAAUAGUGUAACACCCCAAAAUGUGUACAUGUUAGUACCUUAGUUGGUUUUAAUACUGUAAUAUGGAAAAUGAUAUUAUAUUGCAAACCAUGACUAACAACUAACAUGUUAAUAAAUACUAACGUUUAAUAUGAAGCUUUUUGGUAGAUACUAAUUAAACUAGUUAAAAUACUUAUGUACAUGUCUUCUAGAAAAGGGUAAGAAAUAUUGAUCAAAUUAAAUACUAGAUUAAACAUGAGGGGCUGAAUGUGGCACUUGGAAAAGUUAGAGUAUAAGAAAAACAAGUGGAGGAUUUUAUGUAUGUGUGUGUGUCUGUGCGUGGUUUAUAGAGAGAGAGAAAGAAAGGCAAUUCAAACAAACUGAUGGAUAAAAUCAAUGCCAGUCGUAUGCAUGAGCCCUAAUAAGUAAUCAUCUAUUCUUGUCUAACAAGAGGUAAGUCACAAUUUUUGAUUUGGUGAUUGUUUUAGAAAGUGGGUUGCAAUCAAUCCAUGAAUUCAUGUGAAAUUAGUAUGGUUAUGAGUUAGAAUCGCUUCAUAGAAUAAGAAUUAUGCUUGAUUGUGGUCAUCUUGAUGAUUAGAAAUGAAAACCCACUUGUAGUAGAAAUAUGAUGAAGUAUGAUGAUCUUGCAGGUGCAAAAUAGGUGUAAAGUUGAUGUAUGAACUUGUAUGCAAUAGAGUAUUGGAUUGAUUAUGGUAAUCCAUGUUGUGAAAUAGGAAGUGUUAGCGAUGGAUUUUCUAAGCUUAUGGAACAUGGAUCCUCAAAUGUAGCUUGGAUCAAGGAUCCUCAGUUCGGUUUGAAUUAAGGAUCCUUAGAAGAUGUUGCAGCAAUAAAGAUCCAGGAUCCUCAUUAUUAUCCUAACACUAACAAUUGUUUCCAUCAUUUUUGAACUUGUUUUGCAGGUGUAUUCGAAUAGGACUUGGUCCAACCGAGAUUCUAGGGGAAUAUGCUUCAUGAUUCUGCACGUGCAUGAGCUCUUCGACCGUUAUGGUGAUCGUGGGGGACUUGCACCUUUUUUGGAUUGUUAGUUAGUCUAGCUAGUUUCUAUUUUUAAAUGGGGAUACAAGCUUGAUUAGAUUGUUAUUAGCAACACAACUGCACUACACUCGAACUCUCAAGAACUCUAUGCGAUUACACAGUUUUGCACUAUAGUGAUCCUUGUACCAAGCUUGUUAUCAUCCCGAUUUGUAAACCUUGUUUGUUUAAUAUAGUUGGUGAUCGGUAGUUUCCAUCACCCAAGAUUUUUUGUGCCGGAGAUCAUACAUUGAUCAAGGGCUUUUUCCUUGUAUAAAUCCUUGUGUUCACCAUUCAUUUCAUUCAUUCAUUGUUCAUACAUUUGAUCAUUUAAUUAAGCAUCACACCUCACAA